Molecule: long non-coding RNA, 1716 nt
Filed under: Citrus x clementina
Lineage: Eukaryota; Viridiplantae; Streptophyta; Magnoliopsida; Sapindales; Rutaceae
Description: Citrus clementina (C. clementina) long non-coding RNA (CCLE_LNC000845)
Source: RNAcentral
AUUUAUAAUAGCAAGUUACAAUACGAAGUAGUAGUUGAAUCAAACUAAACAACCUCAGCAAAGAGUUAUCACAAGCUACAAUAUGAAAUAGCAGUUGAAUCAAACUAAACAACCUCAGCAAAGAGUUAUCACAAGCUACAAUAUGAAAUAGCAGUUGAAUCAAACUAAACAACCUCUGGCAAGUUCUUGCACGUGCAUGGAAGCAUGCAUGUAUCAUGCAUGACCAGCAUGGAGACAAACUCGUUAUCAUGGAACUUGGCAUUAGGCUUUGGCUUCCUUAGGGAUCUUCUCUUAUCAAUUGCCAUCUUUACUAUAAGCAUCCAUGAUGAAGCAUGAUUUGUCUGGGUCCUCAUUAUUUUUUGAUAGUAUAUAUGUAGUGUAAGAGAUGCAUGGCUUUCGUAUAAAUCAAGAGUUGAUCUUUACUUCUCUUGGAUGUAUUCUUUCGAAUUUGAAUAUCAUAAUUCAUCUAAUUAGAGCUUCUACAUUUUCUAAUAUUUUGAGAACAUGAAGCCACAUAUAUAAGUGAUAUUUUUUGAAAAAUAAACAAAAAUGGUGUCAAGUUGCACGAGGUAACGUAGUCUUGUUGUCUGAAGAAUUAAAGUGAGACAUUUCCUCAAACAUAUCUGGCAGUUUAUUUGUAACUAGGUUAAUUAUCAAUAAAUAACAUGAUAUAGUCAUCAGAGAAAGCUAUAAUAUUGGCUUACAGAAAAAUUGUCAUAUCAGUUGUGACUCAACUGUUAGAUCUCUAAUAUUAUUGAAUAGAUAAUGGACUGAAACUGCUACCAGAAAUAUAUCAUUGAACAACUGAAGCAGACAAUGGAACCACACAUAAAUCACAUAAUAAUAGAUGGGCAACAAACAGCAGCAUUAACUAUUUAAUAAUUAAUUUUUCAGGAAUAAUGUAUAAAUAAAUUUUAUAACUUAGCCCGGAUCUCGAUCUGCCUCCCAGUGUCAGUGGAGAAGAGGCUAAAGAUGACACUGUGGGUAGCCCUUACCUUGAAUAGUACAAUACUUUCGAAGAGUAUCUAGCUUCUUUAAUUUAUUGAAUCCAGCAUUAUGCAGAGAUUUAUGUGAGGCCACGCUAUCAACUUCUGACAAAGUCUCAAGUCUCUCCAAAUGUGGCAACUUAUCAAAUAUGAUAUUAGCCACUACUUACACAGCACUUGUUGCAAGCCCUUUGCCCCAGAAGCUUGGAAGCACAGCACAAUUGUUUUGCAGCUCUGCACCUAUUAGAGUCGCCGUGAUACAAAAAUUGUACAAAUUGGCUUGUUAUUGAGGGAUAUUGCUUUGAACCUCGGAUGCGGGCCAUGCGGCAUAAGUGCGUUCUCGAAAAAGUUCAGUAGUUCACGAUGACAUUGACAUAUUCUAAAUCCAAAUUGAAAUUCCGAAUCAGGCUAUCAUGAAUUAGCCAAAAACAAGCAACUCUUGCCUCUGAAACAUCGAAAGGCCUCAGCUUGAGAAUGAUAUUACCCCAUUGCUAAUGUUAAAUGCGGACCGCCACCUAGUUUUUAGUUUUUACUCAAUGGUAAAAGUUCUUAGCACCAUUGAUAUGACACAAACCCACACUAUAAAAACUGUUAUUGGGUCAACUUUUAUCAGGUUGUGUCGUUUAUGAGUCAAUUCAUUAAAGAGUGGAGCUAUUGGCACCCCUACAUUAUUCUUACAAGACCCCCCUUUAAAUAAAAUUAUAAUUAAAGACAAUUGAAAAUUAAACAC